RNAcentral lists this ribosomal RNA (253 nucleotides) under uncultured bacterium. RNAcentral's name for it is "partial 16S ribosomal RNA". It matches the Rfam family "Bacterial small subunit ribosomal RNA", at positions 524 to 776 of the family's 1533-position model. The record is from RNAcentral.
GACGUAGGGCGCGAGCGUUGCCCGGAUUUAUUGGGCGUAAAGAGCUUGUAGGCGGUCUGUCGCGUCUGCUGUGAAAAUCCGGGGCUCAACCCCGGACUUGCAGUGGGUACGGGCAGACUAGAGUGUGGUAGGGGAGACUGGAAUUCCUGGUGUAGCGGUGAAAUGCGCAGAUAUCAGGAGGAACACCGGUGGCGAAGGCGGGUCUCUGGGCCGUAACUGACGCUGAGGAGCGAAAGCGUGGGGAGCGAACAGG